GCGCUGGCUCCAGCAGCACCUAUACUAAAAUUACAAUGAUACAGAGAAGAUCAACAUGGCUCCUGUGCAAGGAUGACAUGAAAAUUCAUGAAGCAUUCCACAUUAAA
Molecule: small nuclear RNA, 107 nt
Filed under: Vulpes vulpes (red fox)
Lineage: Eukaryota; Metazoa; Chordata; Mammalia; Carnivora; Canidae
Source: RNAcentral